RNAcentral lists this ribosomal RNA (450 nucleotides) under uncultured bacterium. RNAcentral describes it as "bacterial SSU rRNA". It matches the Rfam family "Bacterial small subunit ribosomal RNA", at positions 354 to 796 of the family's 1533-position model. The record is from RNAcentral.
GUGGGGAAUUUUGGACAAUGGGCGAAAGCCUGAUCCAGCCAUGCCGCGUGCAGGAUGAAGGCCUUCGGGUUGUAAACUGCUUUUGUACGGAACGAAACGGUCCGGGUUAAUACCCUGGGCUAAUGACGGUACCGUAAGAAUAAGCACCGGCUAACUACGUGCCAGCAGCCGCGGUAAUACGUAGGGUGCAAGCGUUAAUCGGAAUUACUGGGCGUAAAGCGUGCGCAGGCGGUUUUGUAAGACAGGCGUGAAAUCCCCGGGCUCAACCUGGGAAUUGCGCUUGUGACUGCAAGGCUGGAGUGCGGCAGAGGGGGAUGGAAUUCCGCGUGUAGCAGUGAAAUGCGUAGAUAUGCGGAGGAACACCGAUGGCGAAGGCAAUCCCCUGGGCCUGCACUGACGCUCAUGCACGAAAGCGUGGGGAGCAAACAGGAUUAGAAACCCCAGUAGUCC